Molecule: unclassified non-coding RNA, 200 nt
Filed under: Aphanoascus sp.
Lineage: Eukaryota; Fungi; Ascomycota; Eurotiomycetes; Onygenales; Onygenaceae
Description: partial internal transcribed spacer 2
Source: RNAcentral
UUAAGUUCAGCGGGUACUCCUACCUGAUCCGAGGUCAAACUGGAUAAAAAUUAUCUGACAUCAGCGCCGAAUGGGUCUUUGAGUGAUAGAAAUUCCCAUACACUCAGACACCAGGACUCGGUGCUGCCAUUGCAUUUCAGGCCCGUCCACCGAGGCAGACGGAGGCCCAACACACAAGCCGUGCUUGAGGGGUUUGCAAU